Molecule: ribosomal RNA, 316 nt
Filed under: uncultured Cryptococcus
Lineage: Eukaryota; Fungi; Basidiomycota; Tremellomycetes
Description: partial large subunit ribosomal RNA
Rfam family: Eukaryotic large subunit ribosomal RNA
Source: RNAcentral
AUAUCAAUAAGCGGAGGAAAAGAAACUAACAAGGAUUCCCUUAGUAACGGCGAGUGAACCGGGAAGAGCUCAAAUUUGAAAUCUGGCAGUCUUCGAUUGUCCGAGUUGUAAUCUAUAGAAGUGUUUUCCGUGCUGGACCGUGUCUAAGUCCCUUGGAACAGGGUAUCAAAGAGGGUGACAAUCCCGUGCUUGAUACGACCACCAGUGCUCUGUGAUACACUUUCUACGAGUCGAGUUGUUUGGGAAUGCAGCUCAAAAUGGGUGGUAAAUUCCAUCUAAAGCUAAAUAUUGGCGAGAGACCGAUAGCGCACAAGUA